GUAAAUAUAGUUUAAAAAAAACAUUAGAUUGUGGAUCUAAUAAUAGAAGCUUACAUCUCCUUAUUUACC
This 69-nucleotide transfer RNA is filed under the name Cervus elaphus (red deer). RNAcentral's name for it is "tRNA-His". It matches the Rfam family "tRNA". From Rfam's summary of the family: Transfer RNA (tRNA) molecules are approximately 80 nucleotides in length. Lineage: Eukaryota; Metazoa; Chordata; Mammalia; Artiodactyla; Cervidae. The record is from RNAcentral.